Molecule: ribosomal RNA, 548 nt
Filed under: Indothais sacellum
Lineage: Eukaryota; Metazoa; Mollusca; Gastropoda; Neogastropoda; Muricidae
Description: partial 12S ribosomal RNA
Source: RNAcentral
AAACCAAGAAGAUUAAGUCAUGCAUUUUCGGUGAAAAGACAGUUAAGUAAUAUAAAAGCUUUUUAAAUUGUUAUUAAGAAGUAAAAUUCGCAAAUAAUCUAGAAACUUAAUUAAAGCUAAAAAACUGAAGCUGUGACACCCUCGAGGGAAACUGGGAUUAGAUACCCCAUUAUUCUUGGAUAUAAAAAGAUAUAAGUUUACCAGAGUACUAUGGAUUGAUAACAUUUAAAACUCAAAGAGCUUGGCGGUGUUUUAGACUCUUUAGGGGAACCUGUCUCAUAAUCGACAAUCCACGUUAAACCUGACCUUUAUUUGCAUUCAGUUUGUAUACCGUCGUCGUCAGGUAACUUUUUAGAAAAAAGGAGUUAGCAAUUGAGUUAAUGAUAAACUCUCACGUCAGAUCAAGGUGCAGCCGACAUAAAGGGGAGGAUGGGUUACAAUUAUAAGAAUUAUAACUACGGAAUAACAACUUUAAAUAGAAGUUAUGAAGGAGGACUUAAAAGUAAAAUAAAAUAGUUAAAUAUAUUGAAUCGAGCUCUGAAACGUGC